CAGCAGCCACGGUAAUACCGAGGGUGCGAGCGUUAAUCGGAUUUACUGGGCGUAAAGCGUGCGUAGGCGGCUAAUUGAGUCGGAUGUGAAAUCCCCGAGCUUAACUUGGGAAUUGCAUUCGAUACUGGUUAGCUAGAGUGUGGGAGAGGAUGGUAGAAUUCCAGGUGUAGCGGUGAAAUGCGUAGAGAUCUGGAGGAAUACCGAUGGCGAAGGCAGCCAUCUGGCCUAACACUGACGCUGAGGUACGAAAGCAUGGGGAGCAAACAGGAUUAGAUACCCGAGUAGUCCCUGUCUCUUAUAC
This 301-nucleotide ribosomal RNA is filed under the name uncultured bacterium. Its description in RNAcentral is "partial 16S ribosomal RNA". It matches the Rfam family "Bacterial small subunit ribosomal RNA", at positions 509 to 807 of the family's 1533-position model. The record is from RNAcentral.